GACGAACGCUGGCGGCGUGCCUAAUACAUGCAAGUCGAACGCAGUGGGGACGGGUGAUUACCACGUGGGUAACCUCCCAUCAGAGGGGAUAACCCUUGGAAACAGGUGCUAAACCGAUACUGAUGGAUGGACCCGCGGUGCAUUAGCUAGUUGGUGAGGUAACGGCUCACCAAGGCCACGAUGCAUAGCCGGCCUGAGAGGAUGAUCGGCCACACUGGAACUGAGACACGGCCCAGACUCCUACGGGAGGCAGCAGUGGGGAAUCUUCGGCAAUGGACGAAAGUCUGACCGAGCAACGCCGCGUGAGUGAAGAAGGUUUUCGGAUCGUAAAGCUCUGUUGUUAGGGAAGCGUUAUCUAACCAGAAAGCCACGGCUAACUACGUGCCAGCAGCCGCGGUAAUUC
This 403-nucleotide ribosomal RNA is filed under the name uncultured bacterium. RNAcentral describes it as "partial 16S ribosomal RNA". It matches the Rfam family "Bacterial small subunit ribosomal RNA", at positions 28 to 526 of the family's 1533-position model. The record is from RNAcentral.